AACCUCCUGCUUAGUGCGUGAUAAAGCUUCGAUUGGGCCUACACUUAUUUUAAGGGAGCCCGGGCUUCCGUCUCGGGAUGCAGACCUCCCGCCUCCGACCGUCUUCGUGCCGUCGGGGUGCGGACGCUGGGAGCGCAAUGUGACGGAGAGGGCACCCACCUGCAACCGCAGGGCUAAUCUCGGCUUUACACGGCUCGGCGGGAUUUCU
This 208-nucleotide non-coding RNA is filed under the name Clostridia bacterium. Its description in RNAcentral is "6S RNA". It matches the Rfam family "6S / SsrS RNA". From Rfam's summary of the family: E. coli 6S RNA was the first non coding RNA to be sequenced, but its function was unknown until recently. It consists of 184 nucleotides that fold into an extended hairpin structure with a large single-stranded internal bulge. The 6S RNA specifically associates with RNA polymerase holoenzyme containing the sigma70 specificity factor. Lineage: Bacteria; Bacillati; Bacillota; Clostridia. The record is from RNAcentral.